GAGUUAGCGCUUGUUAAGUGAACCUUGGUGACUAUGGAGUUAGCGCCUGAUAACUAUGGAUUUAGUACUUGAUAAAUAAACUUUGGCAGCAAUGGAAUUCGUGCCAAUUCCUUACGAAUAAAUGAAUGAAGGAUAGUUGGUUCUUAGGGUAAAACCUUAAGAAGAUAAUGGGGAUGGGUAAUUGGGUUGAUUGUUUGCUGAUUAAAUAUAAUAAUUAUAUUAUUGUGGGUUGAAAACCCUAUAUGCUCACCAGGCUCCCAAGCCUGACCCACUCAGUUUUCUUUUCAUUACAGGUAAUGGCACAAGGGUAUAAGUUGGUGGACUUGACGAGAGAUUUUGGAUUAUAGAUCAGUAGUUAAAUAACUAUUGUAAGGUCUAUUUUAUAUUGUUUAUGCUUUUGGUCUGUAACGAACAUGACAUCCCGAGUUUUUAUUAUUUAAUGAAAAUACAUUCUUUUCGAGAAAUGUUUUGAUAAAUGGUUAUCAUAUUUUAUUUUGGGAACAAAUUCCGCAACCGUUUUCUUUAAACGAUCACUCUGAUUUAUAAAACAAAGCAUAAACAAAUCGGUCUUUUCUGGCCGUGAAAUUGGGGAUGUCACAGUUGGUAUCAGAGCAUUAGUUUAAGCGAACUAGGAAUAUGGAUUUAUUUCUAGACUUAAACUUAGAAUGCUAAGCAAUGAUUGUGAGUUGAGUGUGUCCAUUAUAUUUUAGGUAGUACACCUAAAUUGACACAGGCACUAUUUUAUUUUAGGAAAAUUGCCUAAAAUGCUAUUAUGUGCUAAUUGUUAUAUGUUUGCCAUAUAUGAUGUUAAUUGUUCGGAUCUAUGGUCUGUUGCCGACCGGAUCUGGAAACCUUAUGUGUUUAGGAUUCUAAGCGUGCGUCUACGAUAUUAGAACUAGCAUGUAAACGUUUCGGAGUGAUAAGGAUGAUUUGAAUAUCUAUCGUGACUAAGGAUCUAAUUUCACCUUAUUCGGUGUAUAGAUCAAAAAUGGUGAGAACGAGGAGUGGAGUUGGAAAUGCUGAUGAAAACAGGAAUCAAAUACCAGUGAUUGAACAAAUACCUGUUGUAGCAGCAGCGCCUGAACCAAUGACAAUGGCCGGAGUUCAAGUGAUGAUCCAGGCAAUGUUGAAUAAUCAGAUGGAAGAAACCAGACGUCUGAUCAGGCAGAAUCGCGAGGAAUUGUCAAUUCAAGUUGAAGAGCCCGAAGUAAAUGGAGGGCAGUCUGAAGGAGGAAACUAUAGUGGGACCGUUGGUCAAGCCAACCCACCAAUAGUUCGCCAAAACAACCAGGAUAGAGGAAAUGAUGGACGUGGAUGCAAGUACAAGGAUUUCAUGGCAUCCAAACCACCAUGUCUUUCUGGGAGCCCGACACCGGUGCAAGUCAUGGACUGGAUCUCCGAAAUGGAGACAAUGUUUGAAAGUUGCGAGUGUAGCAACAGACAGAAGACCGCUCUUGCAAUCCCUCUGUUAAAAUCUGGAGUAUUGAGCUGGUGGAAGUUACUGGCUGGUUCGAUGCCCAAGGGGGAAGCUAGCAAGAUGUCUUGGGAAGAAUUCGUGGUGCAACUGAAAUUGCAAUGCUGCUCUGAGCAAGAUCUUCUGGAAAUCAACAAUGAGUUCCAGAAUCUGAAGAAAGGAAAAUUGAGCGUUACUGAAUACGCUACGAGCUUUACGGAGAAGAUGAAGCUUAUUCCAUACCUAAUUCCGACUGAACUUUCCAAGGUCAACAAGUUUGCCAAUGGAUUACCAGCGGACUUUGGUCCGAUAGUCAAACAAGCAACCACUCUGAAAGCCGCCAUCUGGGCAGCCAAAAAUGUUGAGACCCAAAUAAAAGAAAAGGGUCUGGAAAGGGCUGAAGUUGGAGAGAAAAGGAAGCGUGAAGGAUCUUCAAUAAUCGACAAAGAAAGUAAAUUCUCGAAAUCUGGGGGAAGAGAUGAAGCUAAGUGGUGUGAGAAGUGUAAGAAGAAACACUUCGGGAAAUGUAGCGAGGAGAUGACUUGCUACAAAUGUGGGAAGACAGGGCACUAUGCCAACAAGUGCGCACCUAACAAGAAGAUGUGCUAUAGGUGUAAUGAAGAAGGUCAUAUUUCUAAAGACUGCCCACAGAAAAACACACCUCCACAGCCAAGGGCAUUCAACAUGUUCCUCAACGAAGCAGAAAGGGAUGGGAGGGUUAAAGGAUGAAGACUUCAUAUUAAUAUAUAAAGUCGGUAAAGUCUGUAUCAGGAAGCAUAGCCUGUUAGAGGCAUAGUAUAGGGUGAACUUGAACUUUUGUGUAAUAGUUUCAAGAAUUAAUAUAAAUCCUAGUUUUGUUAUCUGAUGUGUUGAAUGAUUAUAUGAUUUAUGUAUGGUGACUUGGUUAACUGCGAGACAAUACUUGGGACGAGUAUGAGUAGGUGUGAAUGGUAGUAGAGAUCUAUACUACCGGAAGCACAGGACUCACGCUUGGAUCAGGGGAAGUCACAAGGUUAUCAAGAAGCUAGUAAUUGAUUCCGUUUUAUUCAAGUAUGUCAUUACCAUUGUUUCGGUAAUGUCUAGUAAGAUAGUUGUUAUUCCGACCCUAGGGGUCAUAUCAAUUGAGUCCGACUAUGAUGAGAGGUCAUCGGGACACGACCCAUCAGGGUUAUUACUUAGAAUGGAGAGAUAACUUAUGGAGUCAGUAUGCGAAUCCUAUUUCGUUGAUGAUUCCGGGACGUAAUCAUCCUAAGGGGGAGAUAAUUGUAACGCCCGUAGAUCAGGGCUAGUCAAUUUAGAGACAAUAAGAGUCAAAAAUGACUUUUUGAUAGAAGAUUAUUUAGGAUGAAUAAUCCUAACUAAGUUGUAGUAUAUGUUACAAGGUUUCCGUGCAUAUAAAGAACGCCAAAAUCCGAGUUAUAACGAAGAAGUUAUGACCUGUCGAAGUUUCGCGACAGAACCGGCACGACACAGCGCGACGUAAAAAGUGAAUUUACGUUAGAGCGAUAUUUAGCCUUAGCAAUCUAAACGAGAAUCGAAGAUCUCGUUGUUGGUAUCGAAGCGAUAAAAAGUUAGGCGAGAACGGACGUCAAACGAAGAAGUUAUGAAUUUAUAACGAAGUUUUCUGUCGCGGCCUAUUAAAAAUAAAUAAUAAAAAUAAAAGUCAAAAUUAGCCGACGGAGUCUAAACGAAAGUUGUAGAGCGUAGUCUCACCUUCGCGUGGAUAUAAAGAACGUCGAAAACGGAGUUCGUAUGAAGAAGAUAUGAAUUUCCGAAGUUUAUUAAUCAAUUUGUAUUUAAAUUUAAAAGGAAAUUCGGAAGCAUUAUCCGAAGGAGUCACCGGUCUGAUCCGAGGUACGCGCCGCGUACUCGAGUACGCCCCGCGUACUCCGAAGUGUCGACAUUCGCAGCAAGUGGCUUCGGAUGACGCACGCAGUGACGUUUUUCGGACCAGUACGCCCCGCGUACUGGCGUACGCCCCGCGUACUCCGAGGCUCCAGCCUCCUAUAAAUAGGAUGCGAGGGCAGCCGACCCAAUUGCCAAUUUCUUCUCUUCUCUCUCCCGUUUUGCAUCGUUUUGCGUGCCAGAAAUACCCCGAAGCCCCGGUAUUAUACCCUAGCCCCGAGGCAAGUCCCGAGAUCCCGAAGAUCCCGAAAAGUGCGGUUCCCGAGUCGAAGCUCUGCCCGCGAGAAGUUUGAUUUUCGAGGAGAUCUUCCAGAUCUGCUGAGGAAUACUACUUCUAUAAGCCGUAGUGCUGUCGGAUCGUCUUCUGAUCAAGUGAGUGUGUAGUUAUUUCUUCUAAUACAAUAAUACGAAGUAUUUUAUAUAAAAAUACGUGCUAUGUGUAUAUAUUUGGUUGUGUUAUGUGUGAAUGAGUAUUCACUCUCUUCUAUCUUAUAGAUCUGCUUAUUUCUUUAUGAGAUAUGUGUUAUGUGUGUGUGUCUCAUCUGUUAUGUGACAUAUGUGUUGAUUAAAGCAUGCUAUACAGGUUUUCUUUAAACUACGUAUACAAAUGUAUAUUUUUAUCUACUAAUAUUGUUGGGUAGAACAUGGGUAGAUGGGUUAGUUGGUGACUAUGGAGUUAGCGCCUGCUGUUAGAUAAACCUUGGUGACUAUGGAGUUAGCGCCUGCUGUUAGAUAAACCUUGGUGACUAUGGAGUUAGCGCCUAUUGUAUAAACCUUGGCGACGAUGUGACUUCGUGCCUAUUUGAUGAACCUUGGCGACUAUGGAGUUAGCGCACGUUGAGUAAACCUUGGCGACUAUGGAGUAUGGAGUUAGCGCUUGUUGAGUAAACCUUGGCGACUAUGGAGUUAGCGCUUGUUGAGUAGACCUUGGCGAUUAUGGAGUUAGCGCUUGUUAAGUGAACUUUGGUGACUAUGGAGUUAGCUCCAGAUAACUAUGGAUUUAGUACUUGAUAAAUAAGCUUUGGCGGCAAUGGAAUUCGUGCCAAAUUCCUUAUGAAUAAAUGAAUGAAGGAUAGUUGGUUCUUAGGGUAAAACCUUAAGAAGAUAAUGGGGAUGGGUAAUUGGGUUGAUUGUUUGCUGAUUACAUAUAAUAAUUAUAUUAUUGU
Molecule: long non-coding RNA, 4524 nt
Filed under: Lactuca sativa (garden lettuce)
Lineage: Eukaryota; Viridiplantae; Streptophyta; Magnoliopsida; Asterales; Asteraceae
Description: long non-coding RNA (LSAT_LNC008125)
Source: RNAcentral